RNAcentral lists this long non-coding RNA (202 nucleotides) under Mytilus galloprovincialis (Mediterranean mussel). Lineage: Eukaryota; Metazoa; Mollusca; Bivalvia; Mytilida; Mytilidae. The record is from RNAcentral.
CGGCUGUGUGAUAGAAACUGAGAAGGAAGCAGAAAAGAAAAGGCCAAUGCAGUAUGUACAUGUAGUUCAUGUCCAGUACGCUGUGGGCCUCUGUCAACUAGACCCUCUAACUUGACUUAUGAAUACAGAUUGCCGCAACUCCUUGUAAAAGAAUUGGCGGAACUCAAAACUUCAUUUAUAAGACUUAUAAGACACAAAGCUG